UACGUAGGUGGCAAGCGUUGUCCGGAAUUAUUGGGCGUAAAGCGCGCGCAGGCGGCUUCUUAAGUCUGAUGUGAAAUCUUGCGGCUCAACCGCGGAGGGUCAUUGGAAACUGGGGAGCUUGAGUGCAGGAGAGGAGAGUGGAAUUCCACGUGUAGCGGUGAAAUGCGUAGAGAUGUGGAGGAACACCAGUGGCGAAAGCGGCUCUCUGGCCUGUCACUGACGCUGAGGUGCGAAAGCGUGGGGAGCAAACAGG
This 253-nucleotide ribosomal RNA is filed under the name uncultured bacterium. RNAcentral describes it as "partial 16S ribosomal RNA". It matches the Rfam family "Bacterial small subunit ribosomal RNA", at positions 524 to 776 of the family's 1533-position model. The record is from RNAcentral.